AUAUAUAAUGUGUACGACAAUCAUAAUAUAGGUCAGAGAGUGUUGUUGA
This 49-nucleotide non-coding RNA is filed under the name Trypanosoma lewisi. Lineage: Eukaryota; Euglenozoa; Kinetoplastea; Trypanosomatida; Trypanosomatidae. The record is from RNAcentral.